Molecule: small nuclear RNA, 19 nt
Filed under: Arabidopsis thaliana (thale cress)
Lineage: Eukaryota; Viridiplantae; Streptophyta; Magnoliopsida; Brassicales; Brassicaceae
Description: snRNA_04656
Source: RNAcentral
GAACAUGACUCGUGGAAUA